RNAcentral lists this ribosomal RNA (606 nucleotides) under marine metagenome. RNAcentral describes it as "bacterial SSU rRNA". It matches the Rfam family "Archaeal small subunit ribosomal RNA", at positions 584 to 1189 of the family's 1478-position model. The record is from RNAcentral.
AUGCAAAGCUUGAGACCGGGGGAUGUAAAGAGUACGGUUAGGGUACCGGUAACAUGGGUUGAUCCUUUCUGGAAUAACAACAGCGAAGACACUUUACAAGAACGGAUCUGACAGUCAGGGAUGAAGGCUAGGGGCGCAAAACGGAUUAGAUACCCGUGUAGUCCUAGCAGUAAACACUGCACACUAAACAUUGGGACCUCUUCGAGAGGUCUCAGUGCUGUAGGGAAGCCGUAGAGUGUGCUACCUGGGAAGUAUAGUCGCAAGGCCGAAACUUAAAGGAAUUGGCGGGGGAGCACUACAAGGGGUGCGGCGUGCGGUUUAAUCUAAUUCAACGCAGAAAAUCUCACCAGGAACGACGGCAGAAUGAAAGUCAGGCUGAAGACCUUACUUGACGAGCCGAGAGGUGGUGCAUGGCCGCCGUCAGCUCUUGCCGCAAGGUGUCCUCUUAAGUGAGGUAACGAGCGAGACCUGUGCAUACAAUUACCAUCGACUCCUUUUGGAGGAUCGAGUACAUUGUGGGAACUGCCUUGGAAACAAGGAGGAAGGUGCAGGCUACGGUAGGUCUGUAUGCCCCGAAUUCCCUGGGCUACACGCGCGCAACAAUGG